Polyodon spathula (Mississippi paddlefish) is the source of this 1934-nucleotide long non-coding RNA. RefSeq lists it as uncharacterized. The transcript has 5 exons. The record is from RefSeq and is a predicted model, not a curated record. NCBI's taxonomy places the organism in Eukaryota, Metazoa, Chordata, Actinopteri, Acipenseriformes, Polyodontidae.
UGGCAAACUAUUAUUAAUGAUUAUUUAUUAACUUUCAAAUGACUUAAACAUCUAAAUAGGUAUCAGGUGCUGGUGCAAUUUAUCCUUAACCCAGCUGUAGGGAAUACUCAGCAUGACUAAUGAUUUCAGAUGUGCAACAACACAGAACAGGCAGCACAGCAAAAUAAGUCACUUAGUGUGUAUAAGAACAAAAGCAAGACUCUAGCUUAUGAAAAACAGGUUUGCACUGCACAUCCCUGUAAAACAUGGAGACAAUAAUGGAAUGUGACCCAUCCGAUGAAUGCGAGGAUGAAACAUCAUUCUUGAAUGUGAAACGACCUGGUCGAAAGUCUAGUUUUUUUGUGAAACACAGCACACCUUUUACAUCUGAAGUCUCAGAGUUAACAGCCCACAUGCUUAGUGAAAUAGAUAUGAGUCAUGAAAGCCUCCGAUCUAGAAAAACAUAUCAAGGUUCAAUAGCAUCCAAGCAAAUACUCCAUUCUGGAAUUAGUUCAGCUAGGGGAACCCUUUCACCGGUGCAGUCUUUGAAUGAAGAAGAUUCCUCCUCCUCCUCUCUGAGCCUACACCUGCCUGAACCCAUAACAUUACCUACCAAGACAGACAGGAGGGCUAGAAAGAUUAGAAUGAAAUCUAUAGAUGGAGAUGAAGUUUCUAUUCAGCAUUUAAAAGAAAAGAAAAGGAGCAAAGCACGGAAGUUCAGUGAGUUUCAUGAAGAUAAAUCACGUGAUAAGAAGAAUACACCACAAAAGAGGGCCAGAAAAUCACAGGAGAAAAAGAAAUCGUUGGAUGGAGAUUCGACCCAGGAUUUACAACAAAUGCGUAAUCGUAAAAUAAAAAAGAUAAAGGGCUUAAGUCAGUUUUCCCUGAUUGGAACACUGCUGAUGAAGGUGUAGGGAACAUGUCACCCUCCACAGAAAAAAACUUGCGUGUCAGAAAUUGGGAAAUCCGUCAGUUGAAAAACAUUGAUGAAGCAACUAAACAUGAACUGGUUAUAGAAUGAAGAAACCUGUUGAAGCUGUUUGCAACUUAUAAUAGUUGACAUCUGUCUGGGUUUGACUCUUCAAACAUGUUGUUUUCUACUUUGGACUUGAUGUGUAUGCUGUGUGGGGUGAUGUGUGUCCGGUGACCAUAAAUUCUACAAUCAAAUUGUAUCAAUGCAGUGAUGAAACUUCAGAUCAUAAACAUGACUCAAUGUCAAUCUGUGAGCAUACCUUUACUCACCCUUUUCAUGUCACGCUUGUUUUUGUUGGAUGGGACCUUGGGACCUUGAAUCAAUGUUUUACAUUGAGCUUACACAACUUCACCUUUUAAUGUGUAAGCAUGAUGUUGGUGAUUUAGGAAAGACAUUUUGUCAGCUUUUUUUUUUUUUUUUUUUUUUUUUUACAGCUUUAUACAAUUGUAUUUUGUGUUUUGUAUUCAUCAUUUUGGUUUCCUGAUAAAAAUACUAAAACCUAGAAAGAAAAAAAAAUGGGAUGAAGAUAACCAGUGGUUUUCGAUAUUGUCUGCAAUGUUAGCAUUAAAAGAUAGCAAUGUUUAAAUGUUGUUGUUUUUUUUUUUUUUUUUUUUUAGUACCUUUUGAAACACAAUGUAAGAAACCACAAUGUGUGCAUUUGUUUUCUUUUUCGGAUAUUAGAAACACUGAAACUAAACAUGUUCAGAAAUUAGCUACAAAAAUUCAAAGUCAUCUAGAAUAAUCGCAAUAUUUUAUGUUUUCUAAAUCCAUUACCUCAUUAUUCUUUAACUCCUGUUUUUGAAAGGAGACAGAACCAGCCAAGAAAGUAAUUCAGCUCAAGAUCUCUUAAGCAUUGCUGUGUGUUUGCUUCAUAGUUUUGAGACAUUGUAAAACUUUAAAUUUGUGUGGUAUUCUAAAACAAGACUUGUCUGUAAUCAUUUAAAUGUAUAAUACAUUAAAACACUUGUAUUGCUACUGCAUA